ACCCAAAUUAUUCUAUGAUUCUAUGACAUCAAAUGUGCCCAGGAGAAGCACACUUGUCCAGAUACUGCCCAGCAUCAUGAUUGCAUGUUCAGUACUGGAGACCCCAGGCACCUGGAUGUCACAUAGCAGGUGUCAGAACUGCUGGGAUGGCCUGAGGGGAACCAUGUUGCCCAAGUCUCCAGCUGCCCUGACACAGAAGCAGAUCAUAAAAUCAUAGAAUCAUUUUGGCUGGAAAAGCCCCUCCAGAUCAUCAAGUCCAACUGUUAACCCAACAUUGGCACUAGCCCAUGUCAGUAAAAACGUCAUCUACACAGCUGUUCAACCCCUCCAGGGAUGGUGACUCCACCAAUGCCCUGGGCAGCCUGUUCCAAUGCCCCACAGCCCUUUGGGGAAGAAAUUGUUCCCAACAUCCAACCUCAGACUCUCCUGGUGCAAGUUGAGGCCGUUUCCUCUGCUCCUGGCACUUGUUCCUGGGGAGCAGAGCCUGACCCCCCCUGGCUCCAAGCUCCUUUCAGGCAGUUCAGAGAUCAGAAGGUCUCCCCUCCGCUCCUGUUCUCCAGCUGAACCUCCCAGGUCCCUCAGCUGCUCCUCAUGAGAUCCUUCCUAAGUGGGUGAUGCAGCUGCAGACAGCUGGGGCUGGCAGGGGAUGCAUGUGAAGAAGCAAAUUCGGGUUGAGGCUGGAGGUCAGGGCAUGUGAUGAGAGGCUGAGAUCUGGGUGGGUACAGUGGGAGAGAAGGAAAAGGCAGAUUUUAUCGGUCUCUGCAAGUCUCUGUUGGCAUGGUGCUGAGGAGACAGAGAUGGGCUCUCCUCAGGGGUGCCCAGUGAUGGGACAAGAGGCAUUAGCCCAGAUUGUAACUCAGGAAAUUGUAAUUAGUUAUCCCAGACUCCUGAGCAAUCAAGUUUUCUACGGUACUCCUGUUCCAUUUAUUUCUAAAGAGCAUUUGACAUUGCACUUUCCCCAAGGCCCCGGUGAGACUAAGGAGCAUGUUGGAGAUUGGCAAUCCUUACUCACUGACACAGAGGAACAUCCAGCCUAAUUGAGGUACCUAAUUUUGAACAGUAGCUGUGCUGACACUUCUUAACCCAUGGAAAAAGAUAUACGUCUGCAGUGAAGUCUAAAUCACUCAAUGAAGGUUUCUCCAGUGACCACAGAGAGAUGCUGGAGCAGCCACAGACCUAAGCAAGGAAGUCUCAUCUGUUUUAGAGGUGAUGAAUCCAGGCCUGGGGUUCUUGUGCUGUGACUGCUCAAUAAGAGGGUCAGGUCCUCCUUGCUGACCCCAGAUCUCCUACAAACUGAUCUGACAUCAUAUGAUUGAAAAACAUUUAUCACUUUGGUGUCUUGGCCUUCCCAGAUGCUACUGGAAACGAAAGAGAGAAGUAUCAGCCCCUGAAAACCUAUGAUUUGAACGUGGACUGAGAACAUUUUAUAGAUGCCUCUUGGGCUGACAUUGAAAUCUGACCUUGACCUCCAGAAAUGACCAGAGCUGGAAGGAAGCUUCUUUCAUUACGAAACUCCAGUUCUCCAUCCAACAUUCAAACCUUUCCACAGGUGAAAAAAGCAUUUCCAAUGCCUGGAAAAUGGGUGACAGCUGGCUUUGUGAGGUUCCCAGUUUUGUUGCCUUCAAAUUUUGGAGAAGCCUAUGAGAAAAGAGGCACAAGGACAGGAGCCACAGGAACCAAAAGAAAGAAAGCUUCAACCUCAGAAUGAGCAAAGAAAGAUUAAGUAGAAGGAGUUACAUUUGCCUGGCUGCUAUCAAAACCACUUUUCCAACUUUUCUCCUUUUAUUUUUUUCUCUCUCUCUUUUCGCACUGACAUACCUUUAACGUUUUAUGAGCUGAACUGUAUUUCAUUGCAUGAGGCACUGGCAGACAAUCUGAGAGCUUUUUAUUCUGAGGUGUUUUUCAGCUUCCAGGCUAUGAUCUACAUUGCCUCAAGCCAAAGCCAGGCUUGAGCCGUGGGCCUGGCUGAAAUUUUACAGGGGAAGGGAGUGAGGCAUCAACUUAAACAAGUGUUUGAAGACCCAAGUGUUGCAUGUUAAGAUAUGCCAAGUUUGAACUCCACGCAGCAUGCUCUCUUGGCUGAGGUGCUUACCUGGGGUAAUUAUUGCAAAAUUGACAACACCGUACAGGCUGACACAGCAACUUCACCAGUGAGUUUCACCAGCUGUGAGUGGACCUAAGAGCAGCAGGAGACCAGCAGAAGUCCCUGAAGUGAGCAGUUAACCCAUGGAAUGCCUUGCCAGAUGAUGUGAUGGAGGCAAAACAUGACUAUGGGCUUGAGAGGAGUCGUCCUUGGAAGAGACAUCCAUUGGAGAUCACUAAGACCACUUCAGCCAAGGAAUGCUCUAUGCAGAAAAUGGUCAGAAAUUGGGAAAGUGUGCAAGGGUAGUAUCAAAUGUCUUCAUACUGUUUGCAUGUCCAUUGGAGUACCAGGCUAUAUGGUCACUUACUAUAUAAGUCAGAGUGUCCACCCUGCCUCUUCCCAAAUGAAAUGGUGAAGUUAUUUUACUGUGAACAACCAAGGAGAACUGGGAGCUUCUAAUAGUUGAAUUAUAUGUAUUUUGCUUUGAAACGUAUCCCAGUGGAGGCUGAUGUUACUUUGGUCCCACAAAGAUAAGCUGCAUCCUUCUUCACUCCAGAGAGAUAAGAGUUAAGAGGAGAAAUAGAGGCCAGAAACCUACCAAGAAGGCAAGUGGCAGAAACAGUAACUGAAUACAGCUCCCUUGAACUGGUUUACUCAGCCCUUACAGGCAGUGAAUUGGUUAUAAUGAAUCAGGCAGAGGGGCCUGAUUAAAUGGAAAGUCCCUGACUGGCCUUAGUGGGUUUUGAAGAGAAAUAAACCCUAUGGUCUGCCUCAUCCUAGGGCUUGAGUCGGGGUCCGUUUCACAGAACCACAGAAUAGUUUGAGUUGGAAGGGACCUUCACAGCUCAUCCAGUGCCACCCCUGUCAUGAGCAGGGACAUCUUCACCAGAUCAGGUUGCUCAGAGCCCUGUCCAGCCUGGCCUGGGAUGUCUCCAGGGAUGGUUCAUCCACCACCUCUCUGGCCAACCUGGGACAGGCUCUCACCACCCUCAUAGGAAAACAUUUCUUCCUCAUGUCUGGCCUGAAUCUUCCCUCUUUUAGUUUAAAACGAUCAACCCUUUUCCUAUCACAACAGGCCCUGCUAAAAAGUCUGUCCCCAUAUUUCUUAUGGACCCUUUUAAGUAUAGAAAGGCUGCAGCAAAUCUCCCUGGAGCUUCUCUUCUCCAGGCUGGACCCCCCAACUCUCAGCCUGUCUUCACAGGAGAUCUGUGGGAUCUGCAGGGGUGCAGCCUGUGGGAGACAGAUGGAGGAAUCAUUACAGCUGAUUUUCCAGAGGUUUCAUCAGUGCACUCCGACCACAAGUGUCAAUCUGACCUGAUGCCAAGCAAGUUUAAUGGUGAGAUGCUGGGAUAUAUGUCUUCUAAAUGUUCAAGAAGAAAAGAGUGUGUUGCUGCUGCUACCGUCCAUCUGAAGUGAUCCUCAAUGUGAAGAGCAUAGUCUGGGACUAAAGCCAGGGUGCAGCAUGAAUUCAAAGGAUGGGCGCUAAGCCACCUCGGCUUGGUGUAAAUCCACAAUGCCCAGUCUGACCAUAAAGGAAUUACACUGCCACAGCCUGAAUGAUUCCAGCUUCCAGCUGGGGUGAAACCUGAUCAAAAGCAUCCAGGGGAAGAUUUGCACUCAUGUCUCACUCAGAAGAGGAGAGCAAGAUGGUGCCUAGAGAUGUGGAGCUUUUGGGGACAGCAGCAACUUGAGAAGGACUUCUCUAGAAAGGCACGAAGGCCUUUGAAUUAGCAGACCAGCAUUGAAUGAAAACUCUUUCUGAUUGAACCCUACAUGAAACUCAAGAUGGGAGAGGCAAUAGCUGUCACUUGGGGAGCUUGUGGGGUAUGUGUGUGGCCUUUUUCAUAUGCCAGUGAGCUUCAUCAACACUUCACCUCCCAGUGCCCGAACACCCUCUGAUGUCAAUGGAGCACGCUCAAAGUUCAGUGCAUAGGAACACAGAAUCGUAGAAUCAUUUUGGUUGGUAGAGAGCAUCAAGAUCGUCAAGUCCAAGCAUAACCUAACUCUGGCACUAAACCUUGGCCCUAAGAACCUCAAAGAGCUCAAGGGGAGAGGAUAACUCCCAUUGGUACAAGCUACCUAAGGAGGGCAUGAAUGUGCCACUAAUUGGCAUCUUAAAGGUUGGCCCACUGCUUUCUAGAAACAUACCUAGAUGACCUGGAUGACACACCUGGAAGAAAAUCACUAGCCUACAUCAUGAUGAAGGCCAACUAAGGCCUCCUAAUGUCUACAUCUGAUUUCAGAGGUGACGAAUUUAUGCCAUCCAAGUUCCUUUCUCAAACAACAUAUUUUACUAUGAUGCCCGCAGAGCAGAAAAAAAUAUAGUUGUGUCACACAUGAGCAGUGUAUUAUUGAGUUUGGAAUGCAAUAAAAUAUGUUAUCAAUAAUGAAUUACUGCAAUGCAGAGAUACUUUGACUAUUUCAGAUCCUUUUUAAUUGCUCAGUGGGUGUCUGAACAGUGCUUCUACAGUUUGUCUUGCAUGAAGAAAACAUGCUUUAGCUGUAAAACUGCUUUUAAUCACUAUUAUUUCCGUAUGUUGAAUUUCUUGCCUUCUAUAAUCUUGCUUCAGAUAACAACUUUGAGAUAAAUCCUCAUUAGCUAGAUAUGGCCAAUUUUCUUUGAAGCUCUCCUUUCUCAGUGGCCACCUUGAUAAGAAGAUGUGGCAUGGGAGCUGGUGGAGAGCUAUGCCUAGCUCUUUUUCCU
Molecule: long non-coding RNA, 4787 nt
Organism: Columba livia (rock pigeon)
Lineage: Eukaryota; Metazoa; Chordata; Aves; Columbiformes; Columbidae
Exons: 3
Source: RefSeq, a predicted model, not a curated record